UCUCUACAUAUACAUAU
RNAcentral lists this small RNA (17 nucleotides) under Arabidopsis thaliana (thale cress). RNAcentral describes it as "ATSL069440". Lineage: Eukaryota; Viridiplantae; Streptophyta; Magnoliopsida; Brassicales; Brassicaceae. The record is from RNAcentral.